UGCAGUCGAACGCACUCUCGUUUAGAUUGAAGGAGCUUGCUCCUGAUUGAUAAACAUUUGAGUGAGUGGCGGACGGGUGAGUAACACGUGGGUAACCUGCCCUAAAGUGGGGGAUAACAUUUGGAAACAGAUGCUAAUACCGCAUAAAACCUAACACCGCAUGGUGUAGGGUUGAAAGAUGGUUUCGGCUAUCACUUUAGGAUGGACCCGCGGUGCAUUAGUUAGUUGGUGAGGUAAAGGCUCACCAAGACCGUGAUGCAUAGCCGGCCUGAGAGGGUAAUCGGCCACACUGGGACUGAGACACGGCCCAGACUCCUACGGGAGGCAGCAGUAGGGAAUCUUCCACAAUGGACGAAAGUCUGAUGGAGCAACGCCGCGUGAGUGAAGAAGGUUUUCGGAUCGUAAAACUCUGUUGUUGGAGAAGAAUGUAUCUGAUAGUAACUGAUCAGGUAGUGACGGUAUCCAACCAGAAAGCCACGGCUAACUACGUGCCAGCAGCCGCGGUAAUACGUAGGUGGCAAGCGUUGUCCGGAUUUAUUGGGCGUAAAGCGAGCGCAGGCGGUUUCUUAAGUCUGAUGUGAAAGCCUUCGGCUCAACCGAAGAAGUGCAUCGGAAACUGGGAAACUUGAGUGCAGAAGAGGACAGUGGAACUCCAUGUGUAGCGGUGAAAUGCGUAGAUAUAUGGAAGAACACCAGUGGCGAAGGCGGCUGUCUGGUCUGUAACUGACGCUGAGGCUCGAAAGCAUGGGUAGCAAACAGGAUUAGAUACCCUGGUAGUCCAUGCCGUAACGAUGAGUGCUAGGUGUUGGAGGGUUUCCGCCCUUCAGUGCCGCAGCUAACGCAUUAAGCACCCCGCCUGGGGAGUACGACCGCAAGGUUGAAACUCAAGGAAUUGACGGGGCCCGCACAAGCGGUGGAGCAUGUGUUUAUUCGAAGCACGCGAA
RNAcentral lists this ribosomal RNA (944 nucleotides) under uncultured bacterium. RNAcentral's name for it is "bacterial SSU rRNA". It matches the Rfam family "Bacterial small subunit ribosomal RNA", at positions 56 to 965 of the family's 1533-position model. The record is from RNAcentral.